UACGUAGGGGGCAAGCGUUGUCCGGAAUCAUUGGGCGUAAAGCGCGUGUAGGCGGCUCGAUAAGUCCGCUCUGAAAGCCCGGGGCUCAACCCCGGGAGGCGGGCGGAAACUGUCGGGCUAGAGUCCGGAAGAGGCGAGUGGAAUUCCCGGUGUAGCGGUGAAAUGCGCAGAUAUCGGGAGGAACACCAAUGGCGAAGGCAGCUCGCUGGGACGUGACUGACGCUGAGACGCGAAAGCGUGGGGAGCGAUCCGG
RNAcentral lists this ribosomal RNA (253 nucleotides) under uncultured bacterium. RNAcentral's name for it is "partial 16S ribosomal RNA". It matches the Rfam family "Bacterial small subunit ribosomal RNA", at positions 524 to 776 of the family's 1533-position model. The record is from RNAcentral.